UACAGAGGUGGCAAGCGUUGUUCGGAAUUACUGGGCGUAAAGGGCGCGUAGGCGGCCUUCUAAGUCAGACGUGAAAUCCCCCGGCUUAACCUGGGAACUGCGUCUGAUACUGGGAGGCUCGAGUAUGAGAGAGGGAUGUAGAAUUCCAGGUGUAGCGGUGAAAUGCGUAGAUAUCUGGAGGAACACCGGUGGCGAAGGCGGGUCUCUGGGCCGAAAUUGACGCUGAGGAGCGAAAGCGUGGGGAGCAAACAGG
RNAcentral lists this ribosomal RNA (253 nucleotides) under uncultured bacterium. RNAcentral's name for it is "partial 16S ribosomal RNA". It matches the Rfam family "Bacterial small subunit ribosomal RNA", at positions 524 to 776 of the family's 1533-position model. The record is from RNAcentral.